CCUUUCAAAAGCAACAGCCAAAGCAGAUGCAAGGGAGAUGCAUUGGUGCUCAUAAAUUCAAGGAGCUGAAAUGGCAACAGCUGUGGCAAUUUCAGGAUUUCAGCAGGUAAUCAAAAGAAUUGGCAGAGAGAAAACAAAGUAAGGAAAUCAAAUAUAAAUUCCCAGUGCUCCUAAUAUCUCUUGGAAAGAAAAUGGACACCUCUGUUAACAAAGUUAUGAUGAUUUCUACCUCGGUACACAUUUUCGAACUUCUCAGAGAGGAACCAGCUCACCUAGCGGUCCUUUGAGAGCAUUAGCACUCACACCCCAUACAACUAGAACUCAUGACACUGGCAAAUGGUGUUUCUAGAGUGCUUUGCAUUGCCCGACAUGUUCUCACCCUGUUUUCUCCCCAAUCCUUACAAUUCUCCAAAUGCAAGUGCAAACUGGGGUGCUGUCAAGCAGCCUGGUGCUUAAAGGGCAGAGCCAGGAUGGACCCAGAUUCUGGUUUCCACCAUGUGCCUGAUGGAUACCAUGCGGAUGUGGAGCAGGAAACACUGGGUGCAAAUCCCCACCAGGAACUGUUCAUCCUGAAAAAAACCUGCUGCACAUUGCCCUGGUCACCUCAACGAAAAAUGGGUCAAAAUCAAAGUUGAUGAUCAGUCAUAUGAUCUUCAGCAGCCCUGGAAGGGUGUGAGUUCUCGGCAUCCCAUGCAGGAGCUCUGAAUGUACAAGAGGUGCUGAGGAGGGAGCAUGCGCCGAAUACCACUGCCUUCUUUCUGUGUCCAAGCAAGUUAUGACUGGAAUGGAAAGUAUAGCCACCCGGGGCUGUCAGUACCCCUACCUACUCAAUUGCAGACAUGUUGAUACAGAACAUGAUCAUCGAAUUCCAGUGAAGCCACAGUGAUGGGAGUCCAGCAAGAGUAAAAGCAAGUAGAAGGAAGAAGCCCAGAAAAACCAAAGCGCCUAAGGCCCAUGAAAGCUGUAAUGACUCCUUACCAUGAAGAUGCUAAAGGUUAAGAUGCAAGAACACGAGUGUCAAGUUCUGGUUCCAGACUACAUGCUCGUGGCCACUACACUCUGCUGCUGCCUCAUAUUCUAUAUGCCUUGUACACUGUAACUCCACUGAAGUGCUGGUGGUGGUGGCGUGUGUGUGUGAGAGGGAGAGAGAGAACUGGGGCAUCGGGAGGCCCCUAGCCCUCACACCUACCAGCCCAGCCACUGUGCAGAAUGCAGGGAUGAGUUGUUUCAUUUCAGGUGUUCACUCUGCUUUUUGCAGAACAUAUUGUCCCUUGAAGGAUAUUAAUACAGGAAAUGAAUAAAGAGUGGCUUCAAAACAAA
This 1320-nucleotide long non-coding RNA is filed under the name Homo sapiens (human). RNAcentral's name for it is "HSALNT0377189". Lineage: Eukaryota; Metazoa; Chordata; Mammalia; Primates; Hominidae. The record is from RNAcentral.